Dermacentor silvarum is the source of this 1068-nucleotide RNA transcript. RefSeq lists it as uncharacterized. NCBI's taxonomy places the organism in Eukaryota, Metazoa, Arthropoda, Arachnida, Ixodida, Ixodidae. The transcript has 5 exons. The record is from RefSeq and is a predicted model, not a curated record.
AUUGUUUCCAUCACUGCCAUCUUUGAUGAAGAGUGCGCAGAACAGAAAACAGCCGCCUGCCUGUGGAGCAAACAGUUACGUAAUAAAUGGCAGGUUACCCAGCUCCACUUGUUCACCCUCUUUACCGUCUUGGCGUUGCCUAAUACAAGUGCCAGCACAAGCAUGGAACGCUACUGCCAGCGCUUGGUUCCCAGAUCUAUAACGUCUGUUUUUACCCCAUGUGCUUUUCCAUGCGUGUUGGUGGACCACAACGUGCGCCCAAUGAUUGUUUGGCAGAGGGAAGUGGAUGGAACGCUAUGUAAAGUUGCAGGAACUUUCUCGUUGGAACCGCAGAUUUCAAGUUGUUGGGAGGGCAUCUGCCAGCAGCCGAAUUCCCUGGUGCCCUUGAAACGUGGAAGAAGGGGUGUGGCUUCUCGUAACGCUGCUAGGAAUGCACGAAAGAAAGGAUUUGGUGGCUUUCGAAAAAAGAAGCAUAAAAAAGGAAAGAAGCACCUAAGACUCUAAGAGAACUUCUUACUCUGACGACCACUUUCAAGGCCGUCUGCUGCGGAAGAGCGGUGGUGGUGGAAGCAUGAGUGCAACUGUGUUUCUUCUGUCUGAUGUCAGUAAAUGAUGGCGCUACUGAAGUUUUUGGCCAAUAAUGAUCGCUACCAAAGGUUUAGAAGAGAUAUUUAAUCCGCGAAGUCAGCGAGUCUUUAAUGUGUUAGCAUUCUUUGAGUACUUCUGGCACUAUUCGGGGACUAUCUAUGUAUCCAUCUGUAUUUGUUUGUAUGUUUGUGUCUAUCUAUGCUUUUAUCUAACCGUUUUCCCGCCUGCGUGGGUCACAGGGUAGUCAGGGGACGAAUGUGUAGCACAUCGCGCUGCUGUGCUGAGGCAACAGGUUUCGAAACGAACCAUCGGACCAACUUUGGUCACUGAGUACGUGGCAAUGUGAACACAUGUGCCGCUCUUCAACAAACCUCCUUCACUUCGACAUGGGUCAUUGUAGACGCGGGACUGAGUAGGUACAGCUGUUCGAGCAAACUCCUGGACGCCGACUUGGAAUACUGGGUAUGUGCCACUUGGUCU